Long non-coding RNA from Ornithodoros turicata, 473 nucleotides. RefSeq lists it as uncharacterized. The record is from RefSeq and is a predicted model, not a curated record. NCBI's taxonomy places the organism in Eukaryota, Metazoa, Arthropoda, Arachnida, Ixodida, Argasidae. The transcript is spliced from 7 exons.
UUUUUUUUUCUUCUGUCAACUUAAGAAAGUUUUGAAACGUGCUCCAGCCUCACAUUGUCUUACCGGUUUCAUAUUUGUACUGCUCAGCCUGAGAAAAGUUUUUAAGUGUGCUCGAUGGCCCACCAUAUCUCACACCAUCAGAGUUUUAUUUGUGUUUUUUAGUUUGUGCUGCCCAAUGCGAAAGUUCUUAAGGGUGCUCGAGGCAUAUGUUUUUUAUCCGAAUCCAGAACUAGUCCAUUUUCACGUUCAUACGAAAGUUUUGAAAGGUGCACCAGCCUCACGUUGUCUGUUUCAUGUUCAUAUUACUGAGACUGAGAAAGUUUCUAAGAGUGCUCAAGGCUAACAUUUCCUUACCAGUUCCUCGUUAAUUUUGCUCAACUUGAGGAAGUUUUUCAGUGUGCUCCAUGGCCCACUAUAUCUCAGGCCACCAGAGCUAGUUUUAUUUCUGCUUUUAUAGUUUGUGCUGCCCAAUG